Molecule: ribosomal RNA, 482 nt
Filed under: uncultured bacterium
Lineage: Bacteria
Description: bacterial SSU rRNA
Rfam family: Bacterial small subunit ribosomal RNA
Source: RNAcentral
AUUGAACGCUGGCGGCAUGCCUUACACAUGCAAGUCGAACGGUAACAGGCCUUCGGAUGCUGACGAGUGGCGAACGGGUGAGUAAUACAUCGGAACGUGCCCGAUCGUGGGGGAUAACGGAGCGAAAGCUUUGCUAAUACCGCAUACGAUCUACGGAUGAAAGCAGGGGACCGCAAGGCCUUGCGCGGACGGAGCGGCCGAUGGCAGAUUAGGUAGUUGGUGGGAUAAAAGCUUACCAAGCCGACGAUCUGUAGCUGGUCUGAGAGGACGACCAGCCACACUGGGACUGAGACACGGCCCAGACUCCUACGGGAGGCAGCAGUGGGGAAUUUUGGACAAUGGGCGCAAGCCUGAUCCAGCCAUGCCGCGUGCAGGAUGAAGGCCUUCGGGUUGUAAACUGCUUUUGUACGGAACGAAAAGACUCUUUCUAAUAAAGAGGGUCCAUGACGGUACCGUAAGAAUAAGCACCGGCUAACUACGUG